Molecule: ribosomal RNA, 492 nt
Filed under: uncultured bacterium
Lineage: Bacteria
Description: partial 16S ribosomal RNA
Rfam family: Bacterial small subunit ribosomal RNA
Source: RNAcentral
AGUGAACGCUGGCGGUAGGCCUAACACAUGCAAGUCGAACGGCAGCACAGUAAGAGCUUGCUCUUACGGGUGGCGAGUGGCGGACGGGUGAGGAAUACAUCGGAAUCUACUUUUUCGUGGGGGAUAACGUAGGGAAACUUACGCUAAUACCGCAUACGACCUACGGGUGAAAGCAGGGGAUCUUCGGACCUUGCGCGAUUGAAUGAGCCGAUGUCGGAUUAGCUAGUUGGCGGGGUAAAGGCCCACCAAGGCGACGAUCCGUAGCUGGUCUGAGAGGAUGAUCAGGCACACUGGAACUGAGACACGGUCCAGACUCCUACGGGAGGCAGCAGUGGGGAAUGUUGGACAAUGGGCGCAAGCCUGAUCCAGCCAUACCGCGUGGGUGAAGAAGGCCUUCGGGUUGUAAAGCCCUUUUGUUGGGAAAGAAAAGCAGCAGGUUAAUACCCCGCUGUUCUGACGGUACCCAAAGAAUAAGCACCGGCUAACUUCGUG